AAUAUUUACCUCAGUUAAAAAAUACUGCUGGUAACGUUGAAGCACUGGCGGGCUUCGUCAACCGUCAGUUAUAAAAGCUCUGUUAAAUACAUUUUGUUCCGGGUUUUAAUGAAUUACGUUACAGUCCUGCUUUAUUUCUUUGUCAUUUUAAAUUAAAUUGCCAAUCACAAUAAGACAGCUGUGUUGUAAGGAGACGAAAUUCGAGACAGUAAUUUCAGUGAAGCGCGUGGUCAAAGGAACCGGGUGGAAGACGGUGGAAGGGAAAUUAUACAGGUUGGAGCUAAACUCGGAAGGAAAGUGGAAACUGCUGGCCACAGUUGAGAACAUUCCGCCGAUAACCAUGGUUAAUAAAUGGUCAGACACGUCACUGGCUUUAAAAUAUAAACCCCAUUGAUGCAAAAAGAUGCUGCAUGGAAUGACAAUGAGGUUUGGAACAGACUUGGUGAAGAACAUGGAAACAUCUCUAAAUAAAAUGGCCCCAAACAUCAUCAGGAGUGCAAAAGAAGGAAGUAAAAACAUCUCUACGCCAAUCUCAUUGGAGAGGAAACCACAGAAGGUCUGGUGAGGAAUGCUGCACUUAUGUUAUUGCAAGCAUUAUUUCAAGAAAAUCCCAGCUUCCUUGACUGUGUAAAUAGUGAACCCAAAGGUCCCACACCAACCAUAGUGUUCAACGGCUCUCCUGAUCUUCUCAAAUCUGAAAGUAUCAACUGUAUAAUGGACAAUGUGAACUUAAUAUGUGGAAGACAUUGACAUCACAGGCUGUGGAAUGACUGUGUCACAGGUCGGAGAAGCGGACCGCCCCUGUCGCGGAUCACGCUCCUCCUUGUUCCACCUCGAGGAGGUCCCAAAGCACCCCAAUGACCAGACAAACCAGAGAUAAGUAAAAUAUAAAAAUAGAAACUUUAUUUAAAUUAUUUAAAACUAAAGUGGGGAAUGGGAAAGGGAAUCUAA
Non-coding RNA from Misgurnus anguillicaudatus (oriental weatherfish), 951 nucleotides. NCBI's taxonomy places the organism in Eukaryota, Metazoa, Chordata, Actinopteri, Cypriniformes, Cobitidae. The record is from RefSeq and is a predicted model, not a curated record.